This 497-nucleotide ribosomal RNA is filed under the name uncultured bacterium. RNAcentral's name for it is "partial 16S ribosomal RNA". It matches the Rfam family "Bacterial small subunit ribosomal RNA", at positions 28 to 507 of the family's 1533-position model. The record is from RNAcentral.
GAUGAACGCUGGCGGCGUGCCUAAUACAUGCAAGUAGAACGCUGAAGGAAGGAGCUUGCUCUUUCCGGAUGAGUUGCGAACGGGUGAGUAACGCGUAGGUAACCUGCCUGGUAGCGGGGGAUAACCAUUGGAAACGAUAGCUAAUACCGCAUAACAGUAGAUGUUGCAUGAUAUCUACUUAAAAGGUGCAAUUGCACCACUACCAGAUGGACCUGCGUUGUAUUAGCUAGUUGGUGAGGUAACGGCUCACCAAGGCGACGAUACAUAGCCGACCUGAGAGGGUGAUCGGCCACACUGGGACUGCGACACGGCCCAGACUCCUCCGGGAGGCAGCAGUAGGGAAUCUUCGGCAAUGGACGGAAGUCUGACCGAGCAACGCCGCGUGAGUGAAGAAGGUUUUCGGAUCGUAAAGCUCUGUUGUAAGAGAAGAACGAGUGUGAGAGUGGAAAGUUCACACUGUGACGGUAUCUUACCAGAAAGGGACGGCUAACUACGUG